Molecule: long non-coding RNA, 11757 nt
Organism: Tympanuchus pallidicinctus (lesser prairie-chicken)
Lineage: Eukaryota; Metazoa; Chordata; Aves; Galliformes; Phasianidae
Exons: 4
Source: RefSeq, a predicted model, not a curated record
GGCAUCACAUUCAACUAAAAUGUCAAGAGGAGCCCUGGAGGCUGUGGGGACCCUUGUGGGAUGUGGGGCUGGUCAGCCAAGUGCUGCAGAAACUACUGGGAGAGCUGAGAAUUGCCUGGGAGGAGCAUCGUGCCCAGCCAGGUCCACACUCGCUCAGUGACACAUGCAGCACAUUGCAUGGGGAUAACAUCGUGUGAUCUAAAAGAGGGGAGAUUGAGAUUGGAUAUAAAGAAGAACUUUAUUAUAAAGGUGGUGACGCACUGGCACAGGUUGCCCAGAGAGGUGGUGGAUGCCCCAUCCCUGGAGACAUCCAAAGUCAAGCUGGAUGGGGCUAUGAGCACCUGAUAUAGCUGUAAGUAUCCCUGUUCAUUGCAGGGGAGUGGGACUAGGUGACCUUUUAAGGGUCCCUUCCAACUCAAGUGAUUCUACAAUUCUAUGAUUCUGGGAUGAUCUCUGGGAGGCAACCAAACUAAAGGAUACAUUAACAACUCUCUACAGCAAACAUUAGGUAAAGCCAAAAUAUUAAAUGCACUUUUGGCCUUGCCUUACUAUUAGCCUUUUAGAGUAGACUAGAUAUUUAGACUAGAUAUUUAGAUAUAGACUAGAUAUUAGAAAUAAAUUCUUUACUGUGAGGGUUGUGAGACGCUGGAGCAGAUUGCCCAGUGAGGCUGUGAAUUCCUCCUGUGCAGAGGCAUUCAAAGCCACGCUGAAUGGGGCUUUGAGCAACCUGGUCUAGUAGGAGGUCUAGUGGGUACAGAGGCUUAUAGCAGGGGAGUUGGAACUAGAUGAUCUUAAAGGUACCUUCCAACCCAAACCGUUUUAUGAUUCCCUUCUUGUGUCCUCAGCUUGGUAAAUUAAUUUUGAUUUGUACCUUGAAGGCCAAUUCAGACACUGAUGAAACUGUGCCUUCUGUCUGCUAGCAACCAAGAGGCAUGGAUGGAACCCCCUAUUCCAGUACUACCUGUGAGUUGUCAUAUCCCAUAUCCCAUGUUGGACCUCAGCUACAGCAGGGCCAGGGCUUUGCUGGAAAUGGCUUCUUCAGGCCUGACUGCAGUAGAGCCAUGGCCAGAAUCUUGCCCCUUUAGCAAAUGAAGGUUCAUUUCCUACACAGUCUAUCUUUUGUCUACUCCUUAAUCCAUCAGUGAAGUUACAAAGUCCAAUUUCCAUGGCAACAGACUGUGAGGUCAGGGAGAAAGUAUUAUGCAGGAUUGAGGAUCUGAAGUGGAUGUAAGGAAGGAAAGGAUAAAAUUACUUUAAAAAUUAACAGUCAUAGCAAAGUGAAUAAUGAGGGGGAAAAAAAAGACAGGUUAGAUAAUCUGCUCCUGGUGGGAAGACUCCUGGCAUUUUUCAAGACAGCUGGUGCCAGCAAAACAGACCUUUGCGGAAUCCCAGUUUGAGUUUUCGCUCCCUUUGAAGUCAACCACAACACCAACGGGGAGAAGAUGUGAGUAUCAAGCACUGCAGAGGAAUUCCCAACAAUCAGGAACAUUUCUCAGCACCUGCUUUGCUGAGCAGGGAUGCAACAUGCAAUGUUGGCCCCAGCCUUCAGUGAAAGAAAACCAUCGCCUCCACAGAUUGCAGCACAUGGAGAUUUCAGACAUUUUUAUUUCCAGAGAAUGUGUCAAUGUUUUUCCCUUAAAUAUCUGCUCACAACAAUUGGGACCACAGCCUGCAGCUGUAUCUAAUUAGCAAUUAGUUGUUCACACCUAGCACAGCCCUAAAGCUGGCAACCACAUGGGUGCUGCCAGGAGUCCUGCACAACAACUAAGGAGAGAGGUAGGAAUAGGCCUUUUUCUUGACAACAUUCCCAUUCAUUUGCCGAAGCCUGAGGCUGGACAAAUUGUCACGCAAUUUCUUAUUUUUCUGCAAGAAAGCUGGUAGUUCUCUCACAUUUUAAUAGGGUCUCCUGCUGUGCCGGGGACACAAAGCAGGAGCAGCUCCAUGUGAUGCCCUCGCCGUGCCAUCACAUCUUUCAUGCUGCAGCAUCUCCAAGGGGCUGCAGCCCCCUGCACACCAUGACACCUACUGCAUUUCCACCUUUGUUACCACCUUCCCCUUCUAGGGGAUGAUCCAGUACCUACAGUUCUCUGGAGAUAUGUAAUUAAGCGUGUCGCCCCUCACCAGAUGAAAGCUGCCAAUUCAUUAUGCUAAGGGCUUGCUGCUUGUACCCCAGGAUGUGUAUUUCCCCCCAGUAAGUCUGCCUUCCUCCUUCCUGCUUGCUCAGCAGAUGCUGCACAUCAGAGACUGAAGCUUGGGGGUCUCUGCUUGCCCCCCAGAGGAGCUUUCUCUGUUGCUCAGGCAAAAAGGGAAGGCAGGUAGUGUCAGUCCUGAAAGCAUGCUGGUGCUGCGAGGCGAGGGGGGAGCAGACACGAGGAAAAACCUCCAGCGCACAUCUAGGAUUUAUAAUUGUGACUCAAAGUAUUGCUUUUUCCACUGCUUGAUCUGAGAGCAUAUUUGAGUUGAUCUGAAUAUCAAAGACAUUCAGAAAGGCGGGGAAAUAAAAAAGCAGGGGAGGAGGCACCAAGAUGGUAGUGCAGAUAGCCCGGGUUAAGGAUGAAUAGAGGGGACGUGCCUGGCCAGGAGGUACAGCUGCUUAGAGAUGGUUAUUUUUUCCUGCUUUAUUUUCUCUAGUAAACAUCUUAUGGUCUAUUCAUAGGCUACACGUACUGUUUUCGAUGACAGUGUUUCCUGAUGGGUGACACUGCAGCUAUAUGACACAGCUUUGCCCUGAAGUACUAUGGAGUAAUAUGUGCUGUAAGGUAGUUCCUCCAAACUGAACAAACUCCAAACAGAACAAAUCCAGAGCUUGACUUGGCUUAUCACACUGAGCCAGAUAAAAGGAUAGACAAAACCUGUGGGAUGAAAUGACACUCUACAAGCCUGAAAAGAGGAAUGUAUGUGCAUGGUGGGACACAGCAGAGCUGCUGUGGUGUUUCUCAUCCCCUUCACAGUGCGUGGCUGUAGGAAGGUGAAUGUGCUCAGGUCCAUAAUACACAGGAGACGGUAUGUUCAUAGCUGCCCUGUAGAAGGAACAUACAGAAGUGCUAAUCGUGCCAUUUGGCCUGACAGACCAGAUCAUCACUUCUUUUAUUGGUAUUUCCCUCUUCCAGCAAAAUACUCCUCCUCUACAAUGCCAGAAGAGCCUGGGAGGUAUUAGGAGAGAGAAUGCCAACUCCACAGCAUGUUCCCCAUCACUCUGGCUCUACAUAAAUCCUUCACUGGGUCACAUACAUGAAUAAAAACCACAGCCUGCUUUUAUUAUCCAAGGUCCAUCAGUAACAGAUGACAGUGUUGUCACCAACAGGAUGGCUGGAUUGCCAAUGGCUUAAAGGGAAAUGCAGCUAUAAAAUCUUAUUCAUAUGUAUUGUAUCUGUGUGUAUAAAUAUCUAUGUGCACCCUGAUGUGUAUGUGCAUACAGAUAUGUAUGCAUAUAUAAACAGAAACCUACAAUUACUAUUUUCACACUCACAGGUUCUUAGAAUGCUCCUACAAUGUCAUUAGCAUCAUUAUUUUAUUAAUUCUAUUUUCCUGCUGUCUUGAAUUUAAACAUAGCACAUACGGUACGAAAUGCACAAUAACCAGUCUUCCUUUAAUUCUGAGCUACGAUUCCUCGCACUUUUCCCCAUAUGUUGUUUUGUGGGUUAGCUCUGGUGUGACUUCCUUCCCUUCCUUAUUGAUACAGAAAUAUUCUUGCUUCUGAUUCCUUCAUUGCUCCUAUUGAUUUCACACAUUUCCUUCACAUGAUCACGGGUACUUACUGUUUUCACGAUUUGCACAUUUUCACCCAUCUAUAAAAUGGCUCUCAUACAAGUCAGUCAAAAUCACAUUCUGAUUAAAAAAAAGACAUUAACAAAGUCUUUUUUUUUUCCUUCUAUCCAGCUUUCAGAUCAGUUUUGCAAUGACUUAACAAAAUCUUGACUUGUUUACCUGUAGUUUCCAGGUUGGAUUAUAGUUGCAUUUGGGGUUCUCUUUUUAGGAUUUACUCCAAGCUUGGCAGCUCCUUAAAAGUUGUGUGCUCUUCUCACAACUUGUCAUCUUCCAUCUUUAUUCUGGCAUUGCAGUUGGCUACCUUUGGAGGCUUAAAAUUAGCACGUUAUUAUUGUUUCUGAAGACCCUUUAGACUUUGACUCCUACCUACUGGAGAAAUUUUGAUUUCUGUUUAUGUACUUGCUCAUAAUUUGGGUUCUGUUUCCAAUCUGUCACUUGCUAAACCAUCUGUGCCAUCUGGAAUGUGCCAGGCCCCAAUUUGGGGGGAUUCUCUUCCUUAUGAAAUUCAUGAGAUUCAGCCUGCAGAUGCUUUCACUGCUUCUCUGACAAAUUUAGUUAAUUUGGCAGCUUUGAGGUUUGCAUUUUUCUCAGUUUCUAGGGCUGUAUUUGUUACUAUGCUAUAGGUGCUGGGGGGUCUAUGGAACACGUAUACACUAGAAACCAUCAAGUAUCAACAGCUUUGACAUAAAAGUUAACACAAAGAUUUGGCUAGUCAAGAUCCUUAUGAGCCAUUUUUUCUCUUGUGUGCCAUAAAAUCAAGGGAACUUGAGAGUGCAGGUAUAACAUAAAUGAAAUUCACAGCUGAACAGAAGGUCAUCAUCAAGUUUAUGUUUCAUAUCAAGCAGCACUGCUGACACAGCAUCCUGGAAGAGCUGGAAUUGCCAAUACUCUGCCUCAAAUAUUCCAGAGAGUUGAAAUCAUAACUUACCUAUCAGCAAAUUAAACCCUGAAAGGUUUUAUAGAUAAAGAACCGUUGCUGCUGAGUAACAAAAAUAUACUGGAGAUCUAGGGAUUUGACUUUGAUGCUUUGCAACCAACUUGGUGAAUCCAGUAGGUUGAUGAAGGCUAAUGAGUCUGGCCAGGCUUUUGGUGGAUUACCUGAAUGACUCCAUGUUAAUCAAAAUAUAUUGCACCAACUAUGGGUAAAAUGGAAGUAAACAGAGCAUUUGCGCUUCUAAAUCUGGCGUUAGAGAGGUUACUCACUUAUCAACAUCUAGGCUGAAAGAUCUUACAGCAAUUCAUUCUUUUUUUUUUCUAUUAUUUGAUGUCUCAACUCUUUUCUGGUCACAUUCAGCUCCUAUAAAUGAAUGCAUUGGUGUACAACGAUAGAAAACUUGUUCCAAAGAGUACAGUGGUAACGUAAGACAAAUAUCUUUCUAUUAGAUUUCACUGAAAGCAAAAGGAAUUUUUCCAUUCAAUUUCCCCCACUCUCCCAGACAGAAAUUAUCGAAUGUGAACAUGUGAAGUUAAGUAUGUGAACAUAUAUUCUAGCACCUUACAGAAGUCAGCCCACUGUCAGAAAGGUAAUCCCAUCCAAGUGGAAGGGAUUUGAAGAAAAUGAAGAAACCCAGGUAAUGAAAAAACUGAAACCAAAAGGCACAUAAAAGGCACAGAAUCACAGAAUCCUUAAGACUUGGAAGGGACCUUUAAGGGUCAUCUAGUCCAGCUCCCCUGCAAUUAACAGAGACAGAGCAAACACAGAAGGGGAAAAUAAACAGGCAUGGAUGGCUGUGUUUUCUUCUCCCGCACAGGGAGUCUUGGAGCUGUACUUUGCAUUAUUAACAGCAAGCUAACUGCCACAGCUUGAAGCUCCCACUGAGGUGGGUGAACCUGACACCAAUCCGUGGAUGUAUGCUGUAUUUAUAUAUCCUUGCCACCCCCUUCAGAUGUCUUAGCUGUUCUGGUGGUUACAGUUGUGUUCAGUAAUACUAAAACACACAAAGAAGCCAUCUGAAGUUAAAAGGUUCUAUCUGAAUUUAUAUUUGUUGAUUUCAUUAAUGUUAAAGUCUCCUUUGGAAGAUGCAAAGUUCUGUGGCUUGAGUUGAUGCCAACGGGAAACAUCCCAGCAGGAAGACUGAUGUGUGCUUCAUCAGGAUGCUGGAAGGAGUCUGUCUGCUGGCCAAAAUCUCUCUCCUACUGUUUAUAAAACACUAUCUCGCUCAGCUAGCCCCCUUUUUACAGUUCAUUACUGCACAGUCUUUUAAAAGAGUUGGCUGCUAUUCAACCUCAUGGAUUCAGAGUUGCAGAAAAGCACCUUUCAGGGCAUCUAAGCGUCCCUCCAACCUCCUGGCUACUCAAAGAACUAGGUAAUAUUUCACUAGGUCUUGUGCUUAGACAUGCCCUAUUCUUUUCUCCCCCGAUAAUCCCAAGUGAAAAGAAAAUCCAUCGAUCCUGUGUACCACAAGUAAUUAGAACUGGGGCUGCAUAUCAUUCCGGUGAGUAGUGUGGGUCAGGAUUUUAAACAUGAAAUGAUUUUCAGUGGAUUCAGCACUCUGUCUCAGCACAAUGCAGCCUAUAAACUGAAAAUGCCUUUAAAAGAUGGAGUUUUUAUUCUUCAUUGUCUUCAAUUAAUGCUACUAUAAUUUAGAAACCAAGCUGAUAUUUUUUGUUUGUUGGAAGCCAGAAUUACAUUGAGAGAUAUCACCAUUGUAUGUGCAAUUACUUUUAAUUCUCCUAACAAUUUUUACGAUUCCUUUCAAAUAAUUUGUCUCUCUUGUGUAUUCAUAUUUUCACUUUUCAUUGCAGGCAUUUAAUUUUUAUUACCACAAGAAAGCAUUCUGAAACCCUUUUAUGAUGAGUUUGUUUAAUUUAUCUAGUCAUUAGCCUGUGAUGAAAGUGAUGCCUCCAACAGAUCAGUCAAAAACCUUCUACUGGCAAUAUAUACAGAUCUGUUGUGAGGGGUUAAUCUUUUAUUAGAUUACAGUUACUCUAAAAGCUGGUAUUCAGUAGUUUAAUAGCUUUUCUUAAUUCUAAUCUUCUGCACUCUAAGAAAUAGAUAGAAGUAGAAGGUCUUUGAGCUUUAAUGCAGUUGCAUGGUUUCCUUUGGUAAUUAUUUACAUUUUUAUAAAUUAAAAAUUCUUUUUUUUUUUUCCCUUUCCAGACAACUUCAUCAACGUUUGAAUAAAACAUUUAGGAGUAAUUGAGAGAUACAAACUGUUUCUUGUCCUUACAAGAUGGAAAUGUAAAUCUCCUUUCAGAGCAUGUACUUCUCUUGGCAAUGAGCAAUGGUUUUGGGCUUGGAGGUCUCUGGUUGGGUCCAAGAUUGGCCAAACCAAAAUCGUUUGCUGGGGUCUGUUAGGAGUGUGCUUAAAGCUUUUGUGGCUUUGGUACAGUUGUUACCAUAGUAAAUGUUUUUGCUUACUGACAUGAUUACAAAUUUUGAUUAACAGUUUCAUGUACAGCAGGAGGAACCUGAAAUGAAACCAGCUUUGUAACUGUGGGAACCACACUAAAGAAAACCGAGGAAAACAGAUGAUAUUUUCACGUAAUUGGAAUAUGCUAAGGAGUAAAGAAAUUGCUGAUUCCUGAGGAAUUUGCCAAUUUUCUUUUCAAGCCUCUUUCUAAUGCACUUACAAACGCAUAAAUUGUUCUAAUGCUCUUUCGGUCAUAAAAAGUGAAUCUGUAGGGGAAGAACUGUUUUUCCUUGUCAAGUUGGGCACCCUGCCUCGUUACAGAAAUGAAGACAGUCUGCUUCCUUCUCACCAUGCCACCGUGAUCAAAGGAGCAGGAUGCGAAAAAUUUCCUCGCUGGAACAUGCUGUUAUUCAAAGCCCUUUGUAGGCACCUCACAGCAAAACACAAGUGUCUGGUGCAAGAUAAAAAAAGGCGUGCAUGUACUUAUUUAUUCAGGAUGGCAUUUUGCAUUCCAAAAAGAAACAUACGUAUGUAUCUGCACAUGUGUGUCUGUGUAUGUGGUCUCUAAAACUCAAUCUGUGGGCCUUCUCCUUCCCCCGGGGCCGAAGCUGAGCCCUGAUGAGGACCUGUGCUGGCUGUGCUGGCUGCUGGCAGGGCUCUGCCAUCCCUCCUCUGUCACCAGGCAACGCUAUCAGCCAUGCUGCACGUGUGCGCUGGACAUUCAUCACCACUUUGUAUUUCCAGUUCUGCAUUUUACUUUAGAAAUGGAAGGUUCUUGAGAGAACAAGGUUUUCGUUGGAUGUCAGUACGCAUACCCAGCCUGCACACUCCAGCCCUGCUCCAGCCUCACUGGAUACGCAUCAGCCAUUUGUUGCAGUGCAAUUAAACUCUGACUCCCCCAGAUGGGUGGGGGGAAGUGUGCAAUGUCACCUGAACUGGGGACUUCACUAUAUGAAUACGCUGCCAUCCAGUAAGCUGCAGUGAGACCCUAGCUGGUUUCGAUGUCAGGAUUUGGAUGUGUGAAGAGGCAGGGUGGUUAUAAGAUAACUCGGUGCAUGACACGGCCAGCACGUGGUGAUCCACCUGCAGGGAUGGACACGUCGGAACAGAUUUGAAAAUGUUCCAGGAGGCACAAGACAUGACUUCAGAAAGGGAGAAUUAUCUGUCAUUACCCUGCCUAUGGCUUCACUUUAUUACACAAUACUUCCAGUCUCCUACAAGAAUCUCCAAGAAAGAAUGUAGGGUAUAUGGCUCUUCUAAUCCUCAUAAAUCUGGAAUUAACCCAAUUACAAAGAAGGGCCAUCAUUAAAAAGGAAUGACUGUGCAACCACCUUUUCAACGUCACUGUCACUACACUGACAAUUUAAUUAAAACUGCAGUGCAUUUAGUUAUAUUAGUUCCUAUCAAUACAAAAGAUACAGAUUUUUUUUUAUUUAAAUCUCACAAUGUACUUCAGCACUGCUACGCAGUGAUUACACCAACAGAUUUUAUCAUUCCUGACGAUACAUGACUAUCUCAAAAUAAAAUCCUCAUCUUCACACGAGAUUUUCGUGCCAGAAUGUAAAUGGAAAUGACUAGGAACAAUCACCUUAACCACAGAAACAUGACUCUGAGUAUAUGAAGAUCGUGUUCUUUAUAUCAUACUCAACACUUCUGUCUUGUACACCUCUGGCUGAUGAAGGGAAAGAAAAGAGAGAAGAAAAAAAGGAAGAAGGAAAGGAAAGAGGAAAAAGAAAACGGAAUGUGAGGGAAUUACAAGGUAAGCAAGUGAGAGAUUAAUUUUAAAUUGAUUGUACUUUUUUUUUUUUUUCUGGUCAGCAGAACUCCACUGUGAUUCUGGUCUCGCACACUCAGGUGUAAAGCUGGAGCAGCUACCUUGAUUCCUGUGGAGGUAGGAGGUACAAAUGCACAUCCAGUGAAAGCUGGUAGAGCUCUCCUUCAAGACUGAAAGUUCUCCUAAGUUUUUCAGUGAUUCCUGACAUCUUCUGUGGCUUUCUUCAAACAUAGGAGAAGUGCAGAAAAAAAUCGUCUCUGAAGUCAAGGAGAUAGAAGCACACUGAAGGGGCAAAGGUUGUCUUUGACCUCCAGCUCUUUUCUGAUGUACUAGUCUCUCUGAAAUGUGAAAUUCAGAUUUGACCUCUGUCUAUUUUCCUGCCAAGCACCUGACUUGCAGUCCUUAUCAGACAGAAGGAAACAGCAGAGUAAGACAUUGAGUAGUUUGCAUGAAAUCAGAUAAUGCUUCAAGUGUCAGCAGGUUGUGUUUGCUGAAGCAAAACCCAGUUCUCCUGAACUGCCAUCAUGGCACCUAGAAAAGAACACAUGCAACUUAAAAGCUGAACGAUGCACAAAAAGCCAGUGUUGGCUGGGAGGAGGAUCUGGGGCAGAAAGCUGACUAGAAGGUUAAGCUGUUAUCUGCCAGCGUAACCAGUGCCUCGUGCUCUAAAUGAUUAUUGCUGUGCAUGUAGAGCAUGGCUGGAGGGUCCUGGCCACUGCCACAAGCUGAUGGAUGCUGCUGCCUCAGACUACUACGAGUUGGACUCGAUGAUCCUUGUGGUCACCUUCCAACUCAGAAUAUUCUGAUUCUAUACUAGUGCUGUCUUUACUGCCAAAGGCAACGUGAAGAUAAGGUGGAUCUGGCACCACCAGAACAAUGGCAUCCAAAAAGCCCACCUGUAGACUCAUGCCUGUAUCUUGCCAGACACCUUAACUGGUGAAGAACAAGAGGUGAAGUUUGCUGAACAGGAAGCAUCAUAGGGAAGGGGAGGGUUAGCUGCAAAGAUAAUCACCUGGGAGAUGAGUUCUGAGUUUUGCUUUAUUUGUACAUGAAAUUCUCAUCAAAAUGAGUUUUUUCUGCUGCUGCUUCUGCUGUAUUUCACACUUUUUUUGCCUUUUUGGGAGCAGUGUGUGUCAUCUCCCAACUGUUCUCCCCAGUCGGCAUGUCAGCUGCUUGCUAGCACACUGCAGGCUACCAAUAAGCAUAACUAGCAGCCAAUGAGACAAGAGCAUCUUUGAAGAUUCAGAUGCAGUGCUCCCCUUGGGAUGACUUGCUAUUCCAGAUUAAAAGCCCUUUAUGAAUCCAGGCAGGGAAACUUCAAGCAGCCAAAAUACUAGAUGAGUAUGUUCACCCCGUGAUGCAAGAAUAUCAAAGUUGCUUAGCUUCUAGAGCCAGAUGAAUAGCACAGGCAGAAUAAUUUGAUUCAUGCACCCUCUCAGUGCAUCAUUCCUUCCUUCAUCACCUGGAUUUUCAUUUAAAUGCUGUCUGAUUUACUCAACUGCACACAUCAUCUGCAAGGUCACCCAUUUGUCUCACAUUUGCAACUGAAUGUCCCUUUCUGACCUUCCUCUCCCCAGUUCUCUCUCUGCUCCCCAGGUAAACAAGUGGAGCCCGAAUCUGGUGGUGUUGGAUGCAAUUUGAUCUCAGCAGGAUAUCUCACUGUGCUCGGUCACACUGACCUGUUGCAGAUUGGUGUUUAUUAUAUUCAUUCACACUUAGGAAAGACAAUUGAAUGUUUAGUGGAAGGACAAUUACCACCCUGGAAAUCACCACUCUGCAUUUCUUAUUAGCACCAGAAGCAAGAUAUCAGGCAUGGUGAAGACAUGCUGCUCUGCCAAAGACUGAGAAACACACUUGGUUGCAGAAAGCUUGUGCAAGGCUGAACCUCUCAAUGCAGAGCUGGCAGCAGGGCUCCUGCUACAAUGGUGCUGGGAUUGGAUCUGUUUCAUGAAAACGGGAUGAUCUUAAUACAAAGUUAUGCUGUGAUGACUGCAGUCGGUGACAGAAAUCCCGAUAAACCUCAAGAUGCUCUGGCUUUGGAAAGAGCAUUGAUGAAACCUUCUGCCUGCAGGAAGAUGGUUGGCUGCCCAGUGUGGACGGAGCGUGCUGAUGAGUAGGAGUUGCAAGAGACUGCAGAGCAGCCAGCGUAAGCCAGCACUAACAGGAGCUCCAUCUGCAAUGGCUUAAUCCUGAAUGCCCAAUCAGAAGUGCUCCUAGUCAGAAUUUGCAGCAGGAUCAGAUGGAUACAAAAAACAUUUUGGAGAAGCCAUGACCAAGCUCUAAGCCAUUAUUUAUGAAAGAAGGCUUUCAGAUGAGAGAGGCAAAAGGAUUUGAAGAACUGUGUCAAGAGGGAUCUUGAAAAUGUCGUCAUUUGGUUGUGCUGACCGAGAUCCUGAACUAAUUACACCUGACAAAGGAGACUCAAAAUCAGAUAGAGCAUGAAAACUGAGAAACAAGCAAAUUAAGACAAACAUGCAUGAGUUAAAUGGAUAAGUUUUUCCCACUUGCAAGCAAUUAUGAUUAUAACACAAGCAGUAUGACUGUUGAAUUAUGCAUCCGGUGUCGGUAAGAGCCACACAUUCAUUCAUUAAGACUCCUGCCAACCUAAUUCCCAAGAAAAAGUUUUUAUCUUCACUUCGACUUGCAUGAGUCUGUAGCAAUUCUUACAACAGCAGUGUUUUUUGGUUUGGAACUCUAAGGGGCUUAAUGUGGCUGCAAAGUUGAAAUGGUGACCUUUUAGCAACACCUAUGUAAAUCAGGAAUGCUGAAAAAGGUGGAGACCAUGCACAACCCAACCUGACUCAAAGCACUAGAAGACUCUGGAAGCAAGUGCCUGCAUCUAUAUUGGCAAACAGUGUGGUG